RNAcentral lists this ribosomal RNA (520 nucleotides) under uncultured Glomus. RNAcentral's name for it is "SSU rRNA". It matches the Rfam family "Eukaryotic small subunit ribosomal RNA", at positions 569 to 1091 of the family's 1831-position model. Lineage: Eukaryota; Fungi; Glomeromycota; Glomeromycetes; Glomerales; Glomeraceae. The record is from RNAcentral.
AGCAGCCGCGGUAAUUCCAGCUCCAAUAGCGUAUAUUAAAGUUGUUGCAGUUAAAAAGCUCGUAGUUGAAUUUCGGGGUCAGUAGGUUGGUCGUGCCACUGGUAUGCACUGGCUUCACUGAUUCCUCCCUCUUGUAGAACCGUAAUGCCAUUAAGUUGGUGUUGCGGGGAAACAGGACUGUUACUUUGAAAAAAUUAGAGUGUUUAAAGCAGGCUAACGCUUGAAUACAUUAGCAUGGAAUAAUGAAAUAGGACGUUCGAUCCUAUUUUUGUUGGUUUCUAGGAUUGACGUAAUGAUUAAUAGGGAUAGUUGGGGGCAUUAGUAUUCAAUUGUCAGAGGUGAAAUUCUUGGAUUUAUUGAAGACUAACUACUGCGAAAGCAUUUGCCAAGGAUGUUUUCAUUAAUCAAGAACGAAAGUUAGGGGAUCGAAGACGAUCAGAUACCGUCGUAGUCUUAACCAUAAACCAUGCCGACUAGGGAUCGGAUGAUGUAAUUUUUAAUGACUCAUUCGGCGCCUUAC